Molecule: ribosomal RNA, 918 nt
Filed under: uncultured Bacillota bacterium
Lineage: Bacteria; Bacillati; Bacillota
Description: bacterial SSU rRNA
Rfam family: Bacterial small subunit ribosomal RNA
Source: RNAcentral
GGAUCCAGACUUUGAUUAUGGCUCAGGAUGAACGCUGGCGGCGUGCCUAACACAUGCAAGUCGAACGAAGCUUGACGGAUGAUUUCUUCGGAAUGAAACCUGAUAUGACUUAGUGGCGGACGGGUGAGCAACACGUGAGCAACCUGCCUUUCAGAGGGGGAUAACGGCUGGAAACGGUCGCUAAUACCGCAUGAUGUGUUCGGAUGGCAUCAUCUGAACAUCAAAGAUUUAUCGCUGAAAGAUGGGCUCGCGUCUGAUUAGAUAGUUGGUGGGGUAACGGCCUACCAAGUCAACGAUCAGUAGCCGGACUGAGAGGUUGAACGGCCACAUUGGGACUGAGAUACGGCCCAGACUCCUACGGGAGGCAGCAGUGGGGAAUAUUGCACAAUGGGGGAAACCCUGAUGCAGCAACGCCGCGUGAAGGAUGACGGUUUUCGGAUUGUAAACUUCUUUUCUUAGUGACGAAGACAGUGACGGUAGCUAAGGAAUAAGCAUCGGCUAACUACGUGCCAGCAGCCGCGGUAAUACGUAGGAUGCAAGCGUUAUCCGGAUUUACUGGGUGUAAAGGGAGCGCAGGCGGGACUGCAAGUUGGAUGUGAAAUACCGUGGCUUAACCACGGAACUGCAUCCAAAACUGUAGUUCUUGAGUGAAGUAGAGGCAAGCGGAAUUCCGAGUGUAGCGGUGAAAUGCGUAGAUAUUCGGAGGAACACCAGUGGCGAAGGCGGCUUGCUGGGCUUUAACUGACGCUGAGGCUCGAAAGUGUGGGGAGCAAACAGGAUUAGAUACCCUGGUAGUCCACACUGUAAACGAUGAUAGCUAGGUGUGGGGGGUCUGACCCCUUCCGUGCCGGAGUUAACGCAAUAAGCUAUCCACCUGGGGAGUACGACCGCAAGGUUGCAACUCAAAUGAAUUGACGG